This 253-nucleotide ribosomal RNA is filed under the name uncultured bacterium. RNAcentral describes it as "partial 16S ribosomal RNA". It matches the Rfam family "Bacterial small subunit ribosomal RNA", at positions 524 to 776 of the family's 1533-position model. The record is from RNAcentral.
UACGUAGGGUGCGAGCGUUAAUCGGAAUUACUGGGCGUAAAGCGUGCGCAGGCGGUUUUGCAGGCCGGAUGUGAAAUCCCCGGGCUCAACCUGGGAACUGCAUUUGUGACUGUAGAGCUGGAGUACGGCAGAGGGGGAUGGAAUUCCGCGUGUAGCAGUGAAAUGCGUAGAUAUGCGGAGGAACACCGAUGGCGAAGGCAAUCCCCUGGGCCUGUACUGACGCUCAUGCACGAAAGCGUGGGGAGCAAACAGG